AAUAAUUUAUUUGAUGGUUCCUUACUACACGGAUAACUGUAGUAAUUCUAAAGCUAAUACGUGCGUAAAAUCCCGACUCUUGCGGGGAGGGAUGUAUUUAUUAGAUAAAAAGCCAGCGCGGGUUCUGCCCGGUUUUGUGGUGAAUCAUAGUAACUUUUCGAAUCGCAUGGCUUCACGCCGGCGAUAGUUCAUUCAAAUUUCUGCCCUAUCAGCUUUCGACGGUAGUGUAGUGGACUACCAUGGCAUUAACGGGUAACGGAGAAUUAGGGUUCGAUUCCGGAGAGGGAGCCUGAGAAACGGCUACCACA
Molecule: ribosomal RNA, 308 nt
Filed under: uncultured eukaryote
Lineage: Eukaryota
Description: SSU rRNA
Rfam family: Eukaryotic small subunit ribosomal RNA
Source: RNAcentral